RNAcentral lists this ribosomal RNA (497 nucleotides) under uncultured bacterium. Its description in RNAcentral is "bacterial SSU rRNA". It matches the Rfam family "Bacterial small subunit ribosomal RNA", at positions 338 to 826 of the family's 1533-position model. The record is from RNAcentral.
CCUACGGGAGGCAGCAGUAAGGAAUAUUGGUCAAUGGACGAAAGUCUGAACCAGCCAUGCCGCGUGAAGGAUGAAGGCCCUCUGGGUUGUAAACUUCUUUUAUCUGGGACGAAAAAAGCUCAUUCUUGAGCACUUGACGGUACCAGAGGAAUAAGCACCGGCUAACUCCGUGCCAGCAGCCGCGGUAAUACGGAGGGUGCAAGCGUUAUCCGGAUUCACUGGGUUUAAAGGGUGCGUAGGUGGGUCUGUAAGUCAGUGGUGAAAUCUCCGAGCUUAACUCGGAAACUGCCAUUGAUACUAUAGGUCUUGAAUCAUCUGGAGGUAAGCGGAAUAUGUCAUGUAGCGGUGAAAUGCUUAGAUAUGACAUAGAACACCAAUUGCGAAGGCAGCUUACUACGGGUGUAUUGACACUGAGGCACGAAAGCUUGGGGGAGUACAACAGAGUAGUAUACCUACGUAGUACCGACCGACCCGUAACCGUACGUAGGAGUACUACG